This 511-nucleotide ribosomal RNA is filed under the name uncultured bacterium. RNAcentral's name for it is "bacterial SSU rRNA". It matches the Rfam family "Bacterial small subunit ribosomal RNA", at positions 791 to 1301 of the family's 1533-position model. The record is from RNAcentral.
UAGUCCACGCCGUAAACGAUGUCUACUAGCCGUUGGGAGACUUGAUCUCUUAGUGGCGCAGCUAACGCGAUAAGUAGACCGCCUGGGGAGUACGGUCGCAAGAUUAAAACUCAAAUGAAUUGACGGGGGCCCGCACAAGCGGUGGAGCAUGUGGUUUAAUUCGAUGCAACGCGAAGAACCUUACCAGGUCUUGACAUCCUGCGAACUUUCUAGAGAUAGAUUGGUGCCUUCGGGAGCGCAGUGACAGGUGCUGCAUGGCUGUCGUCAGCUCGUGUUGUGAAAUGUUGGGUUAAGUCCCGUAACGAGCGCAACCCUUGUCCUUAGUUGCUAGCAGGUUAAGCUGAGAACUCUAAGGAGACUGCCGGUGACAAACCGGAGGAAGGUGGGGACGACGUCAAGUCAUCAUGGCCCUUACGACCUGGGCUACACACGUGCUACAAUGGGCAGUACAAAGGGCAGCGAAACCGCGAGGUGGAGCCAGUCCCGUAAAACUGUUCGUAGUCCGGAUUGG